Molecule: ribosomal RNA, 492 nt
Filed under: uncultured bacterium
Lineage: Bacteria
Description: partial 16S ribosomal RNA
Rfam family: Bacterial small subunit ribosomal RNA
Source: RNAcentral
AGUGAACGCUGGCGGUAGGCCUAACACAUGCAAGUCGAACGGCAGCACAGUAAGAGCUUGCUCUUACGGGUGGCGAGUGGCGGACGGGUGAGGAAUACAUCGGCAUCUACUUUUUCGUGGGGGAUAACGUAGGGAAACUUACGCUAAUACCGCAUACGACCUACGGGUGAAAGCAGUGGAUCUUCGGACCUUGCGCGAUUGAAUGAGCCGAUGUCGGAUUAGCUAGUUGGCGGGGUAAAGGCCUACCAAGGCGACGAUCCGUAGCUGGUCUGAGAGGAUGAUCAGCCACACUGGAACUGAGACACGGUCCAGACUCCUACGGGAGGCAGCAGUAGGGAAUAUUGGGCAAUGGGCGCAAGCCUGACCCAGCCAUACCGCGUGAGUGAAGAAGGCCUUCGGAUUGUAAAGCCCUUUUGUUGGGAAAGAAAAGCAGCAGGUUAAUACCCCGCUGUUCUGACGGUACCCAAAGAAUAAGCACCGGCUAACUACGUG